AUUGAACGCUGGCGGCAUGCCUUACACAUGCAAGUCGAACGGCAGCACGGGAGCAAUCCUGGUGGCGAGUGGCGAACGGGUGAGUAAUAUAUCGGAACGUGCCCGGUCGUGGGGGAUAACGUAGCGAAAGCUACGCUAAUACCGCAUACGAUCUACGGAUGAAANCGGGGGAUCGCAAGACCUCGCGCGAUUGGAGCGGCCGAUAUCAGAUUAGGUAGUUGGUGAGGUAAAGGCUCACCAAGCCGACGAUCUGUAGCUGGUCUGAGAGGACGACCAGCCACACUGGGACUGAGACACGGCCCAGACUCCUACGGGAGGCAGCAGUGGGGAAUUUUGGACAAUGGGCGCAAGCCUGAUCCAGCAAUGCCGCGUGCAGGAUGAAGGCC
RNAcentral lists this ribosomal RNA (386 nucleotides) under uncultured bacterium. RNAcentral describes it as "bacterial SSU rRNA". It matches the Rfam family "Bacterial small subunit ribosomal RNA", at positions 29 to 416 of the family's 1533-position model. The record is from RNAcentral.